Dermochelys coriacea (leatherback sea turtle) is the source of this 5883-nucleotide long non-coding RNA. RefSeq lists it as uncharacterized. The record is from RefSeq and is a predicted model, not a curated record. NCBI's taxonomy places the organism in Eukaryota, Metazoa, Chordata, Testudines, Dermochelyidae. The transcript is spliced from 3 exons.
GUGCUGUCCCGCUCACAGACACUGCCCCCGCAGCUCCUAUUGGCUGUGGUUCCCAGCCAAUGGGAGCUGCUAAGCUGGCACUUGGAGCGGGGACAGUGCGUGGAGCCCCUUGGCUGCCCCUAUGCCUAGGAGCUGGAGAGAGGACAUGUUGCUGCUUCUGGGAGCUGCGCGGAGCCACAGAAGGCAAAGAGCCUGCCUUAGUCCUGCUGGACCAUCGACGGGACUUUUAGUGGCUCAGUCAGCGGUGCUGACCAGAGCCACCAGGGUCGCUUUUUGACUGGAUGUUCCCAUCAAAAACCGCUUUUUGAAGUGUAGGUUUUGAGCUAUACAGUCAUAAGUGGCUUAGGACCUGUCUGCUUGAGAAACUGCUUCUCUCUGCAUGAUACAACUACGGUAGAGAUCAGUGGGAGCACUUUUGUGGCACACAUCGGGAGCUCAAAAGAUCCUUGAGAUGCUUGCUUUUCCCCUUGCUCCAAAAUAGCUCGAGUCUAUUGACCUGUAGGGCAUGCUGCAAAACCUAUUUUUUCCUAUUUACUCUUUAAUAAAUAUGUUUAUAUAUAUAUAUAUGUAUAUAUAUAUAUAUAAAAACCCCAUAACACACUAUAUAUAAACUUCUCAUUACAUUUGCUACCUAACCUACUUGCAACAUUUGAUUAUAUAUAAUAUAAAUGGUUAAAAUAUAAAUCAAUUAUUUGUAUUACACAGUUUACAAACAAACAACAUUUGUUUAUAAAAAUCCAAUUAGUUUUAAUCUUAUUCAGCUUUAUCCUUAUUUUAUGUAUAGAGAAAUUGGUGGUGGUGGGGCAGGGGGGAUUAGAAUGUGAUAAAGAACAGAAGCAAACUUCAGAGGAGGGGAAAACAGAAGAGGAGGGAAGGAAGUGGGCAGAGAAGAGGCAGAGGCAAGGGCAGGCCCAUACAUUUAAUAGAAUCAUUCAGAUACUUCCUGGAAAGCAUCCCAUAUCUUGGGUAUUUCUGUUAUGGUAUAUAAUUCUUUCCAUGGUGGCCAAGCUUAUGAUGUCUAUUCUCCAAUCUCUAAUUGUUGGUCGCUUUUUGGAUUUCCAUGUUUAUAGCACUAGUUUUUCAGCAAUUAUUACUGCUCUGCUGAGCCAAUUUUUCAUAUUUAUCCAGGUUCCAAUUAACAUCCAUUAGGUUUAAAAUUACAUGUUUAUUUUAUAACAAUUUUUUCCUAUAAAAUAAAAUUGUAACUCUGUAAUCGGGUUCUUCCCAAAACAUAUGCGUGUAGGAGCAUUCUCAUGGCAGAUGGGUUAAAUUAGUGUCUUAUCAAAUCACAGCAAUAACAUUUGUCUGACUUAGUGGCACCUGUUUUGAACAAUCAGCGGGGGUUCCAAUGCAGAUUCCAUAUGAUUUUCUGAUGGAUUAACCUUAACUGGUGGUCCAAGAAGCAGUUCAGAACACUGGCCAAAAUUUGUUUCCAUUGGUUUGCAGAGAAUAAUUGGCUCAGUUCCUCCUCCAUUUCUUUAUUAAGAAAUCCAUGUUUAAUUCAAAUUUGCUGGCCUUGGGUGCAUAUAAUGUUGCUGUAGGUCUUGGUAAUCUGGGUAAUAUUUGAAGAAAUGAAAUAUGGAUCGGGUCGGGAUAACGCAUGUAUCAGAGCUAAACUCAUGAGAGAUGGCAUGUGUAAAGUGGAUAUAUUGCCAUUCCUUCUUAGUUUCUAGACUGAACCUUUCUUUUAAUACUUUAAAAAGGAGGAAGAUAUCAUUUUCAGUAAAUUGGCUGAUGGUCAAAAUCACUUUCUUAAUCCAAUCAGCCAAAUGAUGGAGUUGCUUGCUGUACAGAGUUUGAGUUACUGCAGAUAGAGGCCUUGGUAUAUAGAAGGGGGUGAUUUUUAAAUUGAGUAGACAUAGUACGCCAAGUAUAUCUGGCUGCCACACUAAUUGGUAAUUGCUCUUCAGGCAAUUGGUAGUAGUCCGGGUGCAGCACAUUGGGAAGGGGUAAAGGAGCAACCCACUUUGCUUCCAUCUGGAGCCAAUCCAGGGCUCUACAGCACAAGGGAAUGAGCCAGUGUGCAGUUUGGCUAAGAAUUAUUGCCUGAUGGUAAAGUUUACAGUUGGUAAAUCUGAAACCACCUGCUUUGAUAGGAAGCUGUAAUCUGUGUGAGGAGACUCUGGGCUUGUUAUUGAAAAUGCCUAUCUUUAUCCUCCUGGCUUUUUUGGAGGAUGGGAUGUAUAAGAAUUGACAGUUGAAUAGGGUGAGGUAUUUCCAGUGUUCACAUUGCUUGGCAGGUAUAUUUUCAUUAUAUAUGAUGGAAAUUAGCUUCUAGACUUUUUUUUUUUUAAUGUAUCUACAUUGACAUCUACAUCUACAUUAGAGGACCAGAUAAUGGGACUAAUGUGAGAUGAGAAUCUGGCGUAACGAUUCUGGGAGUGCUUGAUGGCAAGAAACUGCUUGGCCAAGUGGACUUUAGGAGAAAUAUUUUGAGAAAAUGAAUGUCAAGGAAGACCCAAUUUAUACAGAAAACUAUUAUAGAUUUCACUGUAGACCUAGAUAAGGGAGAAAUCCCAAGAGUGGGACAUUACCUCUGAUGCUUUCAGAUCUCCUGUCAUCCCACCUAGUGUUUUUUUCUUUUCCCCCCAUUGUGUAUCAUCAUAUGCUUAGAAUGUGAUCUCUUUAGAGCAGGGACCUUCUGCCUUGCAUGAUGGGGCACUUUUGGGGGAUUCCAUGUGCUAAAGCAAGUAAAUAAUAACACUACUGCUACUACUCAACAAUCUGUGUGGUAAUGAUUUGUAAAAUUGCUUAUCUUUUCAAAAGAAAGAGUUAUAAGAAAAUAACUCCUGGGACAGGGAAAGAGUAUUAAGGAAGGUGAGAACAAAGGUGAGAAAAUCCAUAUAUUCCUGGAACUGCAUACACAGACUCAUGCUAGGAGGACGGAACUACCAGAAAUAAAGAAGGAAGAUCAAAAAGAAAAGCAGAAACAUCUUUAUUAUCACCAAAGGAGCAAAUCAUGCACCAAAAUAAAACAUGCCUAUUUUGGGAUGCUAAAGACUGUUGGGUGAAAUAUGUGCUGAGAGCUUGAAAGCAAAACUUCUCUCUGAUAUAAACUUAGCUUGAAGGUUUUCUGACUCCUGGAGUCAUAGAACAAGUACAAAGAAACAGGUUAAUUUUGUGCUACCCCUUUGAAGUUAUAUUUAUCUUAGCAAAUGUUCAGCAUAUUGGUAGUUUAUUCUGGGAAUGCUGGGCAGCAGUAGGAGAGGUUAGAGCCACUUAAAAGGUACUGUAUGAAACCUACAGUUUAUGGUCCAGAUCCUCAGCUGCUGUCUUCAGUGAAGCUAUGCUAAUUUACAACAGUUGAGAUCUGGCUCUGUGUCUUCUUAAUAUAUUAAAUGUAUCCUAUAGAUUUAUUGUACAAUAUAUUAUGCUUUUCUUCCUUUUAUAUAUACUGUUUUUUAUAUCCUUUGUUGCCCCCUCUCCCGCCCCAAACAACCAAUCUGUAAAGGGAAUGAAAUUAUGAUUUAUAGAAGGGUGGAGACAGACAUACCUCUUACUUUCAGUGUAGUCAAACACUGCGGGAUUUGGAUAAAUGGCGCCAUCUGCUAUUGUGUAUGACACAGUUUACUGCAUCAUGAGUGUUAUUUAAAUGACAAUCCAUUCGAGGAAUUGGUUUACGUGACUUUUUUUUUUAAAUGAACUGUUUGCUCUCAAUUUGACUCUUCUGAAAAAUGUAACACAAUCCAGCUAUCUGGUUGGAAAGAGGGAAAUGGCACUUGUGACAUUUUGGGGAUCACCCAGACCAGUAAGAUUCUGUCACCCUGUGCCUUGUAACGCUGGGUGUCUUAAUUCUAUAAUGCUAUGGUUCAGAGCUCUGACACCAGUAGUCAGCCUACAAAUAUAAAGGUCUCAAUCCCAGUUUCCACCAGCCUAGGUACUCCUUUCAGGGUGACCUCAACAACCUCCUCUGAUCCCAAGUUUUCCUAAAUCCAUCUCCCCAAGUUCUUAACUACCAGACGCUUGGACUCUCUCUCUCUCUCUGGUUUGUCACCCUUUAAAAAAGGAAAAGGAUUGGGAGUGAAAGCUAUCCAGAAAAUGAGGACCAGCAUCAUAGAGUAUGUCUACACAACAAUUAAACAGCCCUGCAGCCCAAGUCCCUUGAGCCUGAGUCAGCUAGCAUGGGCCAGCUGCAUGUUUUUAAUUGCAGUGUAGACCUACCCUGUGAUGCUGGCCCUCAGUUUCUGGAUAGUCUUCACUUCAAAUCCUCUUCCUUUUUAAACAAUGUUUACAAAUGCUCCCCCCCCCCAAGCCACUUAAACGAUGGUAGUUCAUGGUUACACUGAGUGAGCAAACUCCCUCUUUUCUUAGUUUUCCAAGACUGGGCUUUUCUUUUUAGUUGUAGUGUCUUUCUAUUAAUUUAAUGGUCCACCAUUGUCUUUCCCUAGGUUGUACAAUGUUAGGUGCUUGCAGUUAAUUUCGUGUAAAAUGGGAGAUGACACUCUCUGCCUGAUUACUUCACUCCAUGUUGUGAGGUGAUGCUGCUGUUGCAUGCUAGUUACAAUUACAAUUGUAUACAUAUAUAGAUACACAUGCAUACAUCUGUAACCAUAACCUGUAUACAUGUCUCCUAAUGAGCAAGUUCAAAACAUUACAAGCUUUCAUAAAAGACCUUACUUGACAUAUAUUUCUACACAAUAACAUUGCAUACAACCCUUUGAUUCAAUUGCUUAUUCUCUGGGGUUCAGAUCCUGUUUUCUCCUUGGGGUGGUUGGCCCCUGAUUCAGCUUCCAAGAUUCAGCUUCCAAGCACUGCGGAGUCUGGCUGGGUCAACUACAAGGAGGAAACAGGUCAGUUUAAAACUACCUACCCAAUGUAAGUGUUUGCCCUUUCAACAGCAGUGCGUGGUCCUCUUCUAACUCUCCAUUUAAUGUUUAGAACAGAAAGUGAGAGUUGAAUUGAAUGUGACCAGUGGGCCACAACUGCUGCUGGAGGCAGCUAGGGAAUAGAACAGGGGAACAGGACUGUGAAGAGUCCAGGAAAUCUAAGAAAAAGUUGAAUUCAUCAAAUAUAUUGGCAGGUCCAAUAGGAGUAUGCUAUAUGAAACAUACUAUAUAGUAUGAUAUACCGUAGUUAGGAAGUUAAGUACUAGAACAAAUUACCUAGGGAGGUUAUUGAAUCUCCAUCAUUGGAGGUUUUAAAGAACAGUCCGAGAUGAUCUAGACAAUACCUAGUCCUGCCUCAGAGCAGAGGAUUGGACUAGAUGACCUAUCAAGGUUCCUUCUGGUCUUCUAGGAUUUCUAUGACAUCAGACCUUCCAAGAACACUGUUAUGCCCUGUAGACUACAGACACUAAGACAGCAUCUGAAUAUUUCCUUUAUACACUUGGCCUCUUUGGUGUAGAAAGGAUUCUGGGGCAGGCUGGGGAGGUGUCAGAGCAGGAGGUGCAAAGAACAGAGCACAAGUUACUCCAGAAAUCCAGGUCAGCAGAAUACUUGUUGGGGAGCUAUUAGCCAGCAGUGCAAGUUAGAGCAGCCUCAGAGCUGUUCUAUCUUGCAUUAAAGCCAGCUCAGAAUCUGGCAGUCUCCAAGGUUGGAAGUUAGAAAAGUGGUGGGAAAACCUCCCAUCAUUCUCAGUUGCACCAGGUGUUGCUCUGGUGCAUCUUGGGGCCUUACCCAAUAAUUAUAAAUUAUCUUCACUCUACAUGGUCAAAUACCUUCUACAUAUUGAAUGAACACCCAGCAUCAAGGAUCUAGCAUAUGCCCAAAACUGAAUAAGCUACAAAUACGAUAUUGUCAAUAGUAUGUCUUCUCUACAGAAACUUGAUCUGAUCUAAAUACAUUAAUUCAGUUCCCAAAAACUUACUUAAGGUUGACCAGCAGUGCCAUGUCUGCUUCCAUAAAGUUAAAUGCAGCUAUAUUUAAACCUCUGAAAAACUGGAAG